UUCACAACUUUCUGCCUUUAAAUCUGGUUCCUCUCUUCAGCUUCACCAAGCCACUGAAUGCUUUUCAGUUUUAUUAACCCUCACAUUCCCCAUCCUUCUCAGCAAGAGCCUCUCCUUAUGCCAUCAGCAUGUAUAUACAUUUCCUAGGAAAUUUGAUCUUUCUUGUCAUUCUUUUUUGGUUCCAAUCGGCCUUUUCCUGGUUCUCAAAGCUCUAGUUUCUUCUAAUUUCUGGAUCAUCGCAAGUCUGGCCCUCUUUGAACUUUAAAACAUAAUGUCUAAUUCCACCCCAAUUUUCAGCAUUUCUUCAACUAAAUCGAUAAAGCUGUCUCCAUUAUGAGAAAGGCCAGAAUAAUACUCCGAGUAAGCAUAAGAAAGCUGGUCAUUUUACAACUUCUCCCGACUCUAGGAAGUAAUAUGAUGCCAUUUGUUGAGCAUCUACAGUGUGCCAAGCACAUGGUUCAUCUCUGCAAACUGCUGCUACAUUCUGUAAAGCAAGUAUUAUCCGCAUUUUAGGGAUUAGGAACAGCUUCCUGAUCUCUUGCCAAAAGUCACAGCUAGUGAGUGGUUUAGGCAAGAUACAAACCCUAGUUAGUUAAUCCUUACUCAGAAGUGUAUAGGACUAUGAUACAUUGUCUCAGCUUAAAAAAAAAAAAAAAAAAAAAAGGUAUUUAAUCACCCAGGGUCAUAGUGCCUUCCAUAGUGUGACCAGAUACAACUGUUUUUUCCUUGUAUCCACAAAAGCCAGGUUGUGUCAGAACAACCUUUCUACAGAGUAAUAACCAAUCGAAAAAGAGAAGACUACCUUAUUUAAAUCCACUUAUUCACAGGAGGGAUUAAGGCGGCUGUAACUCAUCCCUUAUCAUCUCCUAAUUUCUCUCCUCCAAAACCUUCCAUUUAUCUCAGCUAAAAUUGUGUCUGAAGGCUGUUUGUACUUAGAGUUACAUUACAAAUAAGGUAGGCAUGGUUUCUAGAGUCCUUUUCUAGUCAAGCAUUUCCUUAUUCGACAAUGUCUUCAGAAUUGCAUUUUAUCUUUUGUAAUUUUCUGUAGCUCCCAUAUUCCAAACAGGAAUUCAUUGACUUGAAAAAGUCAGGUGUGUAAACAGUAAUCCUUUCUUGUUAGGUCUGAAGAGUUCAUGAUUUUUUAUGAAUAUAAACUAAUUUAUUAUUUGCAUUAAUGUAGGAGACAGCAAAGUUAACGGAGAGUCAUAAAACAGAACAAGUAUAAGUUAGGCUUUGGAGCACCUAAGUUCUAAUCUUGACAAUUUUGAGAAUCGUUUGGUACAAAAAUUCUUAAACUGUUUCUGUGCCUUCUCCAUCCAUGAAAUGAGGAUAAUUUUUUUGUGCAAAAUGAAACAAUAGUACUUUGAAAACUUAAGAGAAAAUUCAAGUGUAAAUAAUCAUAAUCUGAAACUCAUUUGUAUGAGGCUGUGAAAGAUUUUACAGACUCUUUCUUUUCAAGUCAGCCUUUGCAAUUAUAUUUUGCCUUUGUUGAAAUGAAAAAUGUUUGCAUCUCCCGUACGCAUACACAAAACCAAUAGAAGAAAGUGGUUGGUAAAAGAUAUAGCUGAAAUGGAAACACUCAUAUGUUAGGUGGAUAAAAUCAUAAGAGAAAAUGGGAAUUGACUGUACUUUCAAAGUACUAAAUUUGAAGUCAUCUUACUCCAAUUUAAGUCAUUAUAUAUAUAUAUAUAUAUUGGCUUUUAAAGAGUUAAAGAGAGAAUCAGAUCUGUCCAGCAGGAUAGAUGGGUGAGGAGAAAAGUACAUAUUUAGGAUUUUUCUCUAAAAGAUCUUUUUCAAGAUUAUGGAGUAUUUUAAUAUUUCUGCAAACUAUUCCAAAUGAAUGCAUUUUAUAUAGGGCAACACAUACUGGCACCUGAUUCUGGUUUAUUCGAGUUCAUAUGUAGGGUUUGUUGGGAAGAAUUAUAUGAUUGGCUUCUUUUUUUAGAGGAAAUAUUUUCCCUUUUUUCUUAUCCAUAUACUAUUCUGAACAGCUUUGCAGAUUUCCUUAAGUUCAUAGCUUGUAAGUAGUUCAUGGUAUAUAGACAUAGUCUUGACUUACAACUGAAAAAAAAUUUAUGUUACAGAAGUUUAUUUUUUCUAUGGAACUGUCUUUAAAAACAAAAAUAUUACAAAUCUUGACCUUGAAAUAUUCUGUUUCCUGUUAUCACAUUCUGGAUAUCUAUUUUGUUUGCAAAUGAAAAUUAUUACUGAUGAUUAGCAACUUGAGCCUGUUAAUAGGAAAUUGCAAAGCCUGAAUACACACACAUUGCCUUAGCCUAUCAGUAGAGUAGAGGACAUAUGUUAAGAAAAUGUGUCUGCUUGUUGCUGUUGUUGGACAAAAUUUUAUGUCUGUGUGUAUGAUUUUUUUUUUUCUAUUUUCUUCAAAGAUGUGAAUUAAAUGAAAGUGUGGGAGCCAGUUAAAUUAUUUUGUAUUAUGGGUGUUCUGGAUCCUUUCACUCCGUAUACCAUUUUCUUGUAAGGGCAGCAUUUGUAGACUUGCUAAUGGACUGUAGAGCUGAGCUAUAUUAAUUUUAUACUUGACUCAGGGGAUCAGUUCUGUGAAUGCCAUUGCACGAAGAAAGCAAAUGUUUGCCUUGAUUUUGAAUGUAUCUUUUUAAUGUCUUCUUAAAACAUAUUUGUUUAAUAAUGUAGAUUUGUUUUUUUUUUUCUAGUAUCAUAGUAAAUAUUGCUUAGUACUUGCCCCCACCCCACUGGGUAGUUUAUAUACUACCCUAUAGGUCAUGCCAAAAAUGAAUAAAAGUUUAAAUGCCAAAAUGUUUAUGAAACUGCUGUCUAAAUACUGAUUGAUUGCACAAUUUAAAUAAAAGCUUUCCUUAGUU
RNAcentral lists this long non-coding RNA (2840 nucleotides) under Homo sapiens (human). Its description in RNAcentral is "non-protein coding lnc-PYGO1-2:1". Lineage: Eukaryota; Metazoa; Chordata; Mammalia; Primates; Hominidae. The record is from RNAcentral.